RNAcentral lists this ribosomal RNA (253 nucleotides) under uncultured bacterium. Its description in RNAcentral is "partial 16S ribosomal RNA". It matches the Rfam family "Bacterial small subunit ribosomal RNA", at positions 524 to 776 of the family's 1533-position model. The record is from RNAcentral.
UACGAAGGGGGCUAGCGUUGUUCGGAUUUACUGGGCGUAAAGCGCACGUAGGCGGAUCGAUCAGUCAGGGGUGAAAUCCCAGAGCUCAACUCUGGAACUGCCUUUGAUACUGUCGAUCUGGAGUAUGGAAGAGGUGAGUGGAAUUCCGAGUGUAGAGGUGAAAUUCGUAGAUAUUCGCAAGAACACCAGUGGCGAAGGCGGCUCACUGGUCCGGUACUGACGCUGAGGUGCGAAAGCGUGGGGAGCAAACAGG